This 130-nucleotide non-coding RNA is filed under the name Paenibacillus sp. Its description in RNAcentral is "SAM-I sequence". It matches the Rfam family "SAM riboswitch aptamer (S box leader)". From Rfam's summary of the family: The SAM riboswitch is found upstream of a number of genes which code for proteins involved in methionine or cysteine biosynthesis in Gram-positive bacteria. The record is from RNAcentral. RNAcentral also lists the same sequence under 1 other name. Lineage: Bacteria; Bacillati; Bacillota; Bacilli; Caryophanales; Paenibacillaceae.
AUCUUAUCAAGAGCAGGUGGAGGGACUAGCCCUAUGAAACCCGGCAACCGGCGGCAACAUCGCACGGUGCUAAUUCUUGCAGGAUAUACGCUCGCUUAUCAUGAGCCGCGUAUAGUCUGACAGAUGAGAG